AUUGAACGUUGGCGGCAGGCCUAAUACAUGCAAGUCGAGCGGAAACGAUGGGAGCUUGCUCUCAGGCGUCGAGCGGCGGACGGGUGAGUAACGCGUAGGAAUCUACCCAGUAGCGGGGGAUAGCCCGAGGAAACUCGGAUUAAUACCGCAUACGCCCCACGGGGGAAAGGCCGGGAUCUUCGGACCGGUCACUAUUGGAGGAGCCUGCGUAGGAUUAGCUUGUUGGUGAGGUAAAGGCUCACCAAGGCUACGAUCCUUAGCUGGUCUGAGAGGACGAUCAGCCACACUGGAACUGAGACACGGUCCAGACUCCUACGGGAGGCAGCAGUAGGGAAUAUUGUGCAAUGGGCGAAAGCCUGACACAGCCAUGCCGCGUGUGUGAAGAAGGCCCUAGGGUUGUAAAGCACUUUCAGUAGGGAGGAAUUAGUAGGGUUAAUAGCUCUGCGAAAUGACGUUACCUACAGAAGAAGCACCGGCAAACUCCGUGCCAGCAGCCGCGGUAAUACGGAGGGUGCGAACGUUAAUCGGAAUUACUGGGCGUAAAGCGCGCGUAGGUGGUUUAUUAAGUGGGAUGUGAAAGCCCCGGGCUUAACCUGGGAACUGCAUUCCAAACUGAUGAACUAGAGUACGAUAGAGGGGGGUAGAAUUCAGAGUGUAGCGGUGAAAUGCGUAGAUAUUCUGAGGAAUACCGGUGGCGAAGGCGGCCCCCUGGAUUGAUACUGACAGCUGAG
This 731-nucleotide ribosomal RNA is filed under the name bacterium IMCC8452. RNAcentral describes it as "bacterial SSU rRNA". It matches the Rfam family "Bacterial small subunit ribosomal RNA", at positions 28 to 750 of the family's 1533-position model. The record is from RNAcentral.